Molecule: long non-coding RNA, 1273 nt
Filed under: Homo sapiens (human)
Lineage: Eukaryota; Metazoa; Chordata; Mammalia; Primates; Hominidae
Description: HSALNT0153284
Source: RNAcentral
UAAAGUUCCUAGGAAAGAUAUAAUUGUGUUUAUUGAACAGAAAAAUGUUACUCUUAAUUAUUUCAAAAAUGUUUGGGGAAACCCAUUCCUUUGCGUGGUCAUUCUAAUUAAAAUGUGGAUCCAAACAUCUAGGCAAAAAUUGUUUAUUCAGUCAAGGCCAAAUAACAUAUAGGAAGUAAAAAUUUGGGGGGAAUAAAGCUGUAUUCUAAGCAAUUAGUAGUUGAGUUAAAGUUAUCACUUAUUUAUACAUGUCUUUUCAUUCCUGAUUUUCAAUUUUAUCAGUUCCUUUGUUCCACUUUUGUAGACUCGUUAAAAUUGACAUACAAUGAAUGUGAUGUAUUUAACAGUUGUAGUUUGAUGAGGUUUGAUAUAUCCAUAAACCUGUGAAACCAUUACCACAAACAACAUAUUCAUCACCUAUCAAAUUUCCAUUUGCUGUUUUGCAAUCUGUUCCCCUUCUUUCUACCCCAUCAAAAAUUCUCUGAUAUCUACUGAUCUGCUUUCUCACUAGGGAUUAUUCUGCAUUUUCCAGAUUUUCCCCAAACUAGAAUCAGGCAGUAUAUAAUAGGUUUGACUAAAUAAUCUUACUCAGCACAAUUAUUUUGAGUUUUAUUCAUACUGUUUUAUGUACCACUAGUUUAUUCCUUGGUGUGACUGAGUCGCAUUUCAUUGAAUUAAUAUGUUGCAGGACUUUCUCUUUAGUUCAGCUAAAAACCUGGUUCUUGUCACACCACCAGGAAAGAUGAGGCUCACAGACACUUUGAAGCGUGAGGGGGUUACAGAAUCUAAUGGGCAAAAAGGUAAAAGGAAAAACAACACAGCAAAGUGAGAGCGGUUCCUGUUAACAGUCCCCCACCUCACAGAUUGAAUCCCAGGUUACUUCACAGGGUCAGGAGAGGCCAGGCUCCUCCCCUCUGCAAAUGGUGUGAACUUCCCUAGGCUCCACCCCAUCCUCCCACUGUGUGGGCCAGUUGAAGAUUCUGCAGGGAGCCCUUUUUAUUGGAUGUCUCAUUUCCUCCCCUGAAGAAGUACAUCCAACUGCCAUUAGAAUAACGUUAAAGACAAGGCUAAAGAUUGAUCUUAACUGCUUCCUGCUGACAGGGGGUGCUGUUUUGGGGAAAACGGCAGAUCUCCCUCAGAGGCCUAUCUACAGGUUCUCAGCAGAAGAGAACAUCUUCUGAGGCUCCAGUUACAUGACAAUUUUGAGUCUGAUGGCUUGAAGGUACAACUGAUUUAACUCUACCCCAACCAUCAUGGUAGAAGCCAAUUUUGU